UAUCGAGAUUACCGGAUUUGCUUUUAUUUUAGGUGAUUAUAUAAGUGCCUCUAAAUAUGGAUUAGCAUAUAGCGUAUCAAGAAAUAGACAUGUGCCAGUUCUCAUCUUGAUGGAUUGAUCGAUGAUUUCACCUGAAUCGAGUGCAAAUUGGGCGGUUCUCACGUAAACAUUUAUAAAAGCCCCCUAGAAUCUCUCUUCUCUCAUUUCUCUUAUCUUCUUCCUUCAUGAGCAGCUCCAUCGAGCAGGGGAUGGAAUCAAGCAAAGCGGCUCCAUCAAGCUCAAAUUAAGCGGCAAAAUCGUCGGUCCUGAGCACCAAAUCAAAGCUCCAAGCCGCUGAAUGGAAGCCCC
This 348-nucleotide long non-coding RNA is filed under the name Panicum hallii. Its description in RNAcentral is "long non-coding RNA (PHAL_LNC000625)". Lineage: Eukaryota; Viridiplantae; Streptophyta; Magnoliopsida; Poales; Poaceae. The record is from RNAcentral.